RNAcentral lists this long non-coding RNA (16050 nucleotides) under Triticum aestivum (bread wheat). Its description in RNAcentral is "long non-coding RNA (TAES_LNC018378)". Lineage: Eukaryota; Viridiplantae; Streptophyta; Magnoliopsida; Poales; Poaceae. The record is from RNAcentral.
UAAGCGGGAGCGAGACCAAUCACAACCCCAGCCGCCUCAUGCCACCGUUCGCCAGCAGUAGUUGAUUCGCCUGCCCUUUUAAUUAGAUCGUGUUAGGUCGUUUGCGGUGAUGCAAACAGAUGCUUACUGUGAAAUUGUUGGUUAAUAUACUGUUGAUCGACCAUUAUCGAUGUAUGCAAUUCUGAGGUACUGUGAGGUUGAUGCCUCCUGUUCUCUGAAUCCUCAUGUGAUUUUCGUUCACUGAAUCCUCUUGUGAUUCCUGUUCACUGAAUCCUCUUGUGAUUCCUGUUCUCUGAAUCCUCUUGUGAUUUCUUGUUCUCUGAAUCCUCUUGUGAUUUUCUCUGUGACGGUAGACGUCCUGUGGCUUUGGUGCCGUAUGGCCUACCGAUUGUCGUCGGCCUCUGUAGGGAAUUUGGAUUUGGCCCAACUCAUGAUCCUGAUCUGUAACAGGACUAAGAUGAGCGAUAGCUGUAGAACUCGGCACCAUCCUGUUUCUUAACUGGAUGGUCAAAAAGAUCAUUGGAUUAUUUGGUUCGUUAGUGCAAAAUGUACUCAAUCGACAUCAGUUCGAGUAAUUUUGAAAUGUUGCCUUCCUUUGAUCCUUUUUGUCAUUUCGGCUGCUUGGUCGUACAAUCUGUGAUGGGUCUUGAAAUAAAUCGAGGGAAAUCUUGAAACCCUGCCCUGUUUCCCGGGCCAGCAUGAACCAGCUGUCCAGUCAAAAUUCUGAAGUAGUAAGCACAUAGUGUGUUCGUGUUAUGCCAAAGCAACAUGAACGAGCUGUCCAGUCAAAAUUCUGAAGUACGUAGUAAGCACAUAGUGUGUUCGUGUUAUGCCAAAGCAACACUGAAUUUCAGUCUGCCUGAAUUAGCUGAAUUUGGCUCAGAGAAGUGUGACUUCAUAUGCUAAACUGAGAUUUCCACCAUACUUUUUAUCGCAGGUGCUUGCCAGCCGGAUAUUCUGUCAAAAUAAUUUACUAUUAUAUCUCUGUAUAGUUUAUUGUUAGUAGAUUAGCUACUGUACUGACCAGGCUUAUCUGAAUAUAUUCUUAUUAUUACUUAACGGUGGGGUUUAAGAAACCAACCCUUGCAAGCUUCCCUGCUACUGCUCGUCAUGAUCAAAGCACAACAGAUGUUCUGUAUGUCAUCCAUGUCGUUUCAGAACCUUCAGAAUUUGUAAAUCUUCUCAUAGGGAUGUUCUAAUCUUCUCAUAUGGAUGUUCCAAUCUUCUCAUAGGAAUUACUAUUUAGUGAUGUUAAUUCAGAACUAACGUGUUGUGUUUCGACUAGCAAUGCUUGUACUUUUCCAAGUGAGCUGCUUCAUCCAGUAUGAACACAUGACACUGUCCUUAGAUAGUUUAGAUGGUUAAUCUACUGUGUUGUUUCAGUGAGUAUUAUGUUUAUAAAUCUGCGAUUGAUUGAGACACCAACUCAUUGUAGUUUUUUUGGAAAUAGAGGCAUACCCCCGGCCUCUGCAUCAUGAUGAUGCAUCAUGAUGAACUCAUUGUAGGUGCACCUGAGAUAAUGAUAUUAAAUCAUCAUUGCAUCUCUCUCUACUCUCUCGCAAAAGAAAAUUGCAUCUCUCUACAGAUGUUGUCCUUGAGAUCUCUAGUUUUUCUGAAGCAACAAUUUGUUACACUAGGUAUCAAGGAAAUUUCUCUUUGACCACAUUAUAACUUUCUGUAAUAUACUUGUAUCAUUUUUUUAGGGAGUAACAUACUUCUAUCUAGAGAAUGCAUUAGAAUCAUUGAAUCAACAUUCCGGAAGAUAGAGACCAUCGACUUAAAUAUGUAUUGCAUUUUGCUCAAUUCCAAACCUUGGAAAUAGAAUUAAAAUGAACAUGUUCAGACCAAAACAGCAUGCCAAAGGAGAUUGUAUUUUCACAUUAAUUCAAUGCAGUUAAAUAUGAAAACAACAGAUAUAAACUUAACUGCAGUUAAAUCUGAAAACAACAAUGGCAUGGAGCGAAACUCCAAACAUGUAGUGCCAGCUUUCAAAGAUUCAUUUCAAUAUGGGGAGAAACAACAAGGUGUACACAGUGGCCUCCAAGAAGGUUGCAAAAUGCAAGGAACGUGUAGACUGAUCUGGACCAAAGAUUUGGAAUCCAAUGGCACGAAUUUCGUUUCCAUAUUUCCACUGAAAUUAAGAGGUUGUUUGCUUGCCAGCCGCAGCUUGCCACGCCAAAGGUGUGGCGUGCCACAACUCCCUAGGCUUGCGUUUGGUUUGAUACAACUGUUUGGCUCGCCACAGCGCAUAGGGGCAUCUGCAGUAGAAAUUUUUGCCAAAUGUGCGGCGUUGGUUUUGUCUGCCACACUUUCUGCGGCAUGCCACAGGUGUGGCGAACACCUCAACUUUGGCAUGGCAAACUGAGCCUCCAACCAAACAGGCCCUGAGUUUCCAUUGGAUGGUCGUUGGUUUCAGGGUGCGCUAUGCCGGCCACUCACGGUGUGUUUUUAGUGGGAGGUGAAGUGGUAUGCUGGUUAUCGGACUGUGUGGGCCUUACUCUCGUGCAAUGACAAGUGAAUAAACACUCAUCGUGAGAAUAACACAUCUAGCAUGAAAAAUUUCGGCCAUCCCUCACCGCCUCACAAGCGGUAUGAGCACACAAAAAAGAAAUUUAUUUUGAAAAUUAGAGAUGGCACAUACAAAUUUGCUUAGAACGGCAAAAGAAUACCGCAUAUAGGUAGAUAUGGUGGACUCAUAUGGCAAAACUGGUUUAAAGGGUUUUGGAUGCACGAGUAGUGAUCAUACUUAAUGCAAAAUGAAGGCUAGCAAAAGAUUGAGAAACGACCAACCAAGAAACGAAAAAUCUCAUAAGCGAGCAUUAAGCAUAAUUAACACCAAAUAAUGCACCACAAGUAGGAUAUAAUCUUAUUGCAUAACUAUUGACUUUCGUGCUUGCAUAGGGAAUCACAAACCUUAACACCAAUAUCUUUCCCUAAUAAUAAAGUACGGAUUGACUUUGUCAGGUUCACCGUCACAAUAUGCUUUCUUCUCAUGUCAUAAUACGCUUUUAUGAUUUGUAUAGACAAAAUCGUAAUAUAAACGAGGUGGUACUAGGGUCCGCACGUCCUUGUGGAAGUUGGGAUUGGGUCCGGUCGUCCGUCCAGGAGAAUAGCGAUUCGAUCGUUUGGGCAAACAGGACUGUCUUCGGCCUCAAAGGAAAGACGCACGGUAUGGAAAAAACAAACAAGAGAGAUCGGGCAUGACUCCUCCUGAGAGCCACGAUGGAUCUCGCCUCCACCAAGUUACAUAUUACGAGCAAACAAAAUCAUCGUCACAAAUCCGAUUCCUUCCUCCUCCGCACGCACGAAGCCACCGCCGCUGCUUCUCACCUCGCCGCUAGAUCGGAAUCUUUGUCGUUGCUCAAAUCAAGAGAGAGAGAGAGAGAGAGAUCGGAUCGAGAUCGAGAUGCCACGAGGAGCGCUGCCGGAGAUGCCAGGCCGUUGCCUUAGGCGGACAAGCCGCCGGCAAGGAAUCCACGUCGGGUGGCCCGGGCGCCGUCACCUCACCUUCCACAGGCCCUCUCGACCCUCGGCUAGACGCCACGGCCGGGUCGCCGCCCCCUCCCACCGCGAGGAAGACGACGGCAGAGCAAGGCGGCGGCGCUGGGCUAUACGUCGAGCCUCCCUCAGUGGCCUCCGUCCUCCAUACCGAUGCUCCGUCCCCCGUUUCAAUCGGCUCUACUGCAACUUCGCCUGACGACCGGUGCUCUGCCUUGACCUGCUCUGCUUCGGUCCAGAUCGAUACGGCCCUGAGCUCCACUCCAUGGCCCUCUUCUGCCAAACCCUGUACAAUCUCCUCAAACCAACUUGCUUGUCAACGAGCCUACCACCGCUAGCUAUUCGCAUGGUCUCUCUCUUCUGAAGAUACGAGUUAACUUUUUGAAGCUAUGCAUACGACAUCAAGUAUUACUUAGGGUUAUGAGGUAACUUCCUGCACCUAUGCAUACAACACUAUGUAUUACUUUUCUUUGCAUGAGUUAACUUUCUGAACCAAUGCUUCCUGUCCUCAUUGGCGAGAUUUAGGAUAGACCUGUAGGGCUGCGCAACCCUUUGCUUGGCUGCGUUUGUGUGUCUCACUCACCCGGUUGUCGUGUUAGUGCUUGCGAGCUCACGUCUGCAAUUGCUACAAUCUAUUCCUUCUAUCAAUGCAAUGAUACGCAAGUCUUUUGCGUAUUCGCAAAAAAAACUUUCUGAACCAAUGCUUACGGCAUCCGGGAUUCGUCAGGCUGAUGUCCUGCUUCGGAGUGUAAGCAGCAACAGUAACAAAUGGUUUUUCUGAAUCAAAAUCAAUCAAGAUUAAACUUUGUGCUGACAGUAAUCAAUGAAGAAAUAUGGUAUUUGUGAGAGUGCAGAAGAGAGAACCUUCCCAGGGUUUAAGUAAACAGUGGUGGCUCAGGGAUCUCACCUCCCGGGACAAGCUGCAAACGAAACGGGGCAGAGCGUCAGAAAAGAAGACUUGUGGCAGAGCAUUUCAGCAAGAAAGUGAAUAGCAAAAAGUAAAAAACAUCACAGAAGAGUGGAUUGUCUGUUGUAAAAUAAUUAUGCCCAGAGAUUGUUUUCAUGUUUUGGUGAAGCUUUACUAUUCAGUGUUUACACUUGAACAACAUCAACAUGCAUGUCGAAGUGAGAACUAGAAUUGUGAGGCUCAGGCAUAAGAAAGCAUUCAUCACAGGCAAGCGCACCUUGUUGAUAAGAUUAUCCUGCUUGAGGAUGUAGUGCAAGACCCAGCCUACCACCGGCAUCUCGACGACCCACACGAAGAUCUUCACCAGAAGGGCGGCGACCCGAGGAGUUGCUCAACAGAAUUCAGAAUUCAUAAUUCAGCAGCAAGAACAGAACAUGAUUAAUCNNNNNNNNNNNNNNNNNNNNNNNNNNNNNNNNNNNNNNNNNNNNNNNNNNNNNNNNNNNNNNNNNNNNNNNNNNNNNNNNNNNNNNNNNNNNNNNNNNNNNNNNNNNNNNNNNNNNNNNNNNNNNNNNNNNNNNNNNNNNNNNNNNNNNNNNNNNNNNNNNNNNNNNNNNNNNNNNNNNNNNNNNNNNNNNNNNNNNNNNNNNNNNNNNNNNNNNNNNNNNNNNNNNNNNNNNNNNNNNNNNNNNNNNNNNNNNNNNNNNNNNNNNNNNNNNNNNNNNNNNNNNNNNNNNNNNNNNNNNNNNNNNNNNNNNNNNNNNNNNNNNNNNNNNNNNNNNNNNNNNNNNNNNNNNNNNNNNNNNNNNNNNNNNNNNNNNNNNNNNNNNNNNNNNNNCGAGGUCGACCUCCGUGCCACGAAUAAGGCAUCCAUUGAUAUAUGUUCAGCAUCAUGUUCUUCUACUUAAGCCAAUGUUAUCUUUAGGCUUGCUGACUUGCCUUAUUCAUGAUCGAUGAGCUUUACUACCUAGCAUGUAACCUUCCAAGUUUGUUUACCAAUCCUCCAUCGUUUUUUAGUUGUUCUGCGUACGUCCUUCCAUGAAAGUAUGGAAACAGGCAAUGCCAGCCAUCAACAGUUGCCGCACCUGCCAACUGUAAAGAAAUUAUGUAUGAUAAGUUGGGGCAGAGGCCAGUAGGCGACGCAUAUCAGUACACCAGCGGUAGAUGGCAACGCAGUGGGCGGCAGCAUCUGGCUGUGAGGCCAAAACUAGCAGUGGCGCGAACCAGCAUGGUGGUUUACGGAGCCAAAGCGCAGCGGCAGCCAGCACGGUCGAUACGUGCAUGCGGCGGCCUAGCUAGAGCGGCUGGCGCAUGUGCAACCUGUUCGGAACGGCUAAAUGGCUAUGGUGCGACAAGUCACGUGACCAAGCAGGACUAGCCCGAGAUGACGGGGUACGUACUGGGGCCGCGGCGGAUAGCAGGAAGAUGAACGAAAACCUCUGUCAGCUCAUAUCCAACCCCCUCCUCCCUUCCGUUUUCCAUCUACCUCACGGGGGCAGGGCAGCACCGCAGCAGGGCAGUUUUGAUCUUGUUCAGCAGCCAAGCAUACGUACUACUACCUGUGUUUGCGUCGGAGCUAUGUUUUUAAGGCGGUAAGGCGAGGCGAGGCGCUGGGGGCGCCUCACUGCCUAAGCGCUAAGGCAUAAGGCAAGGCGACGCCUUAGACACAUACAUAUAUAAUAGAUGGCAGCCAAUUAGGAGAUUUAACUACUAGCAUUGACAUCAUAAACUGUACAUACAUAUAUAACAGUUGGCAGCCAUUUAGGAAAUUUAACAAUUAACAUUAACAUAAUUAGUUGUUGCCAAAUCAUAGGCCUCAAAUCAUCUUCUAUAUAUGACAGAACGACGCCUUUAAACUUCAGCUUCAUCCUUCUCAUCAAUAUAUCGCUCCAUAGCUUUAAACUUUCUAGUGUUUAAGGAUUUGCGCAUCUGUAUCCUAAUCUCCAUAGAUGCCUCGGGACACAUAUCUGCAUCACUACAACCCCCAGAAAGGUGCUGCUUCAGCCUUCUCACUCCAGCAUGGACUAUCUUGCCACACAAUGUACACUGGAGUAAAUCUUUCCUCUCUAAAUCUGGCCAGAACCCAUACUUUCAAACUGGAUCAUCUGAUGUAGCUCUUCUCCUAGGAUCCAUCAGAGCAGGGACACCUCGCUGCUGCAGCAACACUGAGAAAAGACCCAAUCAACCGUCAAAGAGAGAAGAGCCAAAUCACUAGAGCAAGCAGACAAGCAUGGGGAAGAAGAGAAGCGAUGGUGGGGUUGCUGCCUUGUGGAUGGAGAAGCAGAUUUGGGAGCAAACAGAUGCGGAGGAGGAGCAGGCCAAGCACAUCUACAGAUCUACCUACAAUGCAGGAAGAAACAGAGUAUUAGGAGGGGUAGAAGAAAAUUCAGAGGAGGCCGGGGUAGAAGUGAGAUGAGAAUGGGAGCCACACCUUGCUGCUGCGCCAGAGUUGGAGGGAGAGCUGAGCCCGGCGAGGAGGGGCACAGAUUGGAGCUGUAGAGGAAGGAGUCGCCGCCAAAGGUCAGAGAGGAGAGAAGGAAACCCUAUCGGGUGGAUUGGACGAUUGGUUCAAUCCUCUCUGUCCCGCCCUUCGCCUUAUACCUGUUCGCACUCGCGCGCGAGCCCAAUAUUUCCCGCGAAAGCCCGCGAAAGCUUCCCGCGUGGGGCCACUCUUUCCCGCCUGGAAGCAGCCCAUGGCGUCCGAUCUGGCCCAAGGCGCCGCCCUACGCGCCUAGGCGGACGAUUCAGACGCCCUAGGAUCUAAAGCGGACGCUUUACGACGAUGUAUAAGGCAGGUUCGACGCCUUGCCAUUGGAGGGUGCCCUGAGAAACAGAGCGUCGGAGACGUUAAUUAAGUGAUUCCCGUGGCUGCUGCUGAAGCUCUGGAACGUGGAGAUGAGGCGGAAGGUGGCCAUCGUACAGACUAGCCUGAUCAUACAACUUUCAAAUAAGCAAGACAGGUAUGCCAUGCUAAGCAUUACAUCACGGACCAGAUUGAUGAUACCUCUCUCCUAUGUCAUGUUUAAUAAUAGUACUUGAUUAAUCUCUGUUAUUGUAUUGUAGAGAGUUUUCAGUUCAUAAGAAGUCAUGUCAUUAUGAUUGCAGGUUUUGCUAAAGCAUAUUUAGAUGUGCUUUAAGUAUUGCACAUCUAAAUCGGUAAAUCCUAUGUCAUUGAUUUUACCUGGAGCUUCGUGCAUGUAUUUUCUUUUACUUUGCUUUUUCUUUUCAUAUCCAAUUGACUCAUUUUUUAAUGCUUUUUAAUUGAAUCAUUUAGAUAUGCAAUAACUAGGCACCAAUUAUAACGUUGACACAUGCACACGCACACAUCUACUGAAUACCGGAUCUAUACUAAAGACUGGGUCAAAGUUGCGGAGCCUUAAGAUUGACGAUGUCAUCAUGACCGACUUGCUACCUAUAGAGAAAAAAUCAAUAUUAAUAAGACAACAAAGCGUCAAUCCUACAUUUUGAUCUCUGUUAAGCACUGAAAAAAAUAGCACGCUAUAACCUCGCUAAUAGCACGCUAUAGCAUCUUGAGAAUUGUCUCGCUAAAUAUAUCGGUGUACAACGUCUCGCUAAUAGCACGCUAUAGCACAAUAUAGCACGCUAAUAGCAUAUUUUGAGGUCGGCGCUAUUUUGCUGUAGCACGCUAUUUUUUUCAUUGCUGUUAAGCUAGGGUAUCACUGCCCUCCUAAUCAUCUAAUCACUGGUGUAAUUGGUAUCUUCGCGAUAUUAAUAUGUUCCCUUUAUCGAUCUAACCACUGGAUAAUGCUCAUUAUAUUCUUACAACAACACCGGAAUGCUCCGUUACAUCACGUAUCCCUUUCGAGCGAACCACCAAAUAACCCUCGAUGCCAAAGUUUCUCUUCAAGCCACCGUCGGUCGAUCCACAGCUACUGCCAUUGAUUUUAGCAAUGCAAAGCUUCAUAGAUCUGCCGUUUGAAGCACAUUUAUUUAUUCGUGUCCCCAUUGCAACGCACGGGCACUUUUGCUAGUUCUUACUAAAGCAUAAUUACUAACCAACAUGACUCACAUAUCACAUCAUCAUAUCCCAAAACUAUUCCAAGGAAUCAAGUUCAUUUUUUCCAAUGAUCUUUAUGAAAGUUUUUAUUAUAUCCUUCUUGGAUAUCUAUCACUUUGGGACUAAUUUCCAUGUGUUGCUUUUAAUAAGCUCAAACAAAUAUAAGUGAAGAUCAUGAGCAUAAUAUUUCUUUCUCUCAAAUUAAUUUAAGUGAAGCAAGAGAGAAUUUCUUAAAAAAUUUACUAACUCUCAAAUAAAUCUAAGUGAAGCAUGAGAGCAUUUCUUCAAAAAUAAGAAAGCACACCGUGCUCAAAAAGAUAUAAGUGAAGCACUAGAGCAAUUCCAUAGCCCAUAAAGAUUUAAGUGAAGCAUAGAGAGCAAUAUUGUUAAAAAUCACAGAAGCGUGAUAAAAUACCCAUUCUUUUUGCAGAAGAUUAAUAUACAAAUUGUUCACGUGGUCCUAAUAUUUCAGAAUUUUUGGAGUUAUAGAAGUAUUCAAAAUAUUCAGAUUGCUACAGACUGUUCUGUUUUUGACAGAUUCUGUUUUCUUUGCGUUGUGUGCUUGUUUUCUCACGAUGAGUGUUUAUUCACUUGUCAUUGCACGAGAGUAAGGCAAAGGUAUUAGGAUGCCCAGUCCCAAAAUGAAAAAUGAAUUUACUUUAUGUUAUCAAAUAAUAAAUUUCUUGGAAAGUGUUGGUAUGGAGGGCACUCGUGGAUGCGGUUAGCCAUGGAAAGUGAAAGUAUGGUGGAAAAAGGAAUAAACUUUAUUUUCUGUUUGGGAACCGCCUAUGAUAUAUCUAGCAUGGAAAGUUUUGGGAACUCUAAGUCGUUUUCGUUGGUGGGAAAAGCACACCUCCCAAAAUGUUUUUAUCUCUAAGUUUUUCGCUUUGAGCUCUGGCACCUCUACAAAUCCCUACUUCCCUCCGCGAAGGGCCUUUCUUUUUAUUUUAUGCAAUUUUUAUUUUUAAUCUGAGUCUCCAUCUUCUCUUAUAAAGCACCAACUAGGAGGCACUAUGAUUGUACUUGAGCAUUGGGUGUAGCUAAUAUAUGAGUGUGUUUCAUGAAUGGAUCAAUGAUUGAGCAUGAUGGGCUAGGGAUAACUUAUUUUAGCGUUGAUAUUUCGAAAGACAUGGUUGCUUGUUGAUAUGCUUGAGUAUUAAGUUAUCAUGUCAAAACUAGACUAUUGCUUUGAAUCAUAUAAAAGUCCAAAUGUCCAUGCAAUAAAGAAAAUAAUAUGAGAUGACAUGUUAGGCAGCAUUCCACAUCAAAAAUUCUGUUUUUAUCAUUUACCUACUCGAGGACGAGCAAGAAUUAAGCUUGGGAAUAGCACUAUGUCAUCCGCGUAUAGAGAUAGCUGAUAUGUCUCCAACGUAUCUAUAAUUUUUGAUUGUUUUAUAAUGUUAUAUUAUCAUUCUUGGAUGUUUUAUAAUCAUUUUAUAUCAUUUUUGGGUACUAACCUAUUGACAUCAUAGGAAAUCAAUACCAAACGGAGUCCAAACGCAGCGAAACUUUUUGUGGAUUUUUUUGGACCAAAAGACAUCUAGUGGGCCGGAAAAGCACCUGGGGGGUGCUCCGAGGGGAGCACAACCCACCAGGGCGCGCCUGGAGGCCCAGGCGUUCCCAGGCGGGUUGUGCCCACCUCGGGUGCCCCCUGAACCACCUCUUUGCUCUAUAAAUACCCCAAUAUUCCAGAAACCCUAGGGGAGUCGACGAAAAUCAAUUCCAGCCGCCGCAAGUUCCAGAAACACCAUAUCCAAUCUAGACACCAUCACAGAGGGGUUCAUCAUGCCCAUUGGUGCCUCUCCGAUGAUGCGUGAAUAGUUCUUUGUAGACCUACGGGUCCGUAGUUAGUAGCUAGAUGGCUUCCUCUCUCUCGUUUGAUUCUCAAUACAAUGGUCUCUUGGAGAUCCAUAUGAUGUAACUCUUUUUGCGGUGCGUUUGUUGGGAUCCGAUGAACUUUGAGUUUAUGAUCAGAUCUAUCUUUUUAUUCGUGAAAGUUAUUUGAGUCUUCUUUGAUCUCUUAUAUGCAUGAUUACUUAUAUCCUUGUAUUUCUUCUCCAAUAUUUGGGUUUUUUGGCCAACUUGAUCUAUUUAUCUUGCAAUGAGAAGAGGUGCUUUGUGAUGGGUUUGAUCUUUCAGUGCUUGAUCCAAGUGAUAGAAAGGGAACCGACACGUAUGUAUCGUUGCUAUUAAGGAUAACAAGAUGGGGUCUAUUUCUACAUAAAUACAUCUUGUCUACAUCAUGUCACCGUUCUUAUUGCAUUACUCCAUUUCCCCAUGAACUUAAUACACUAGAUGCAUGCUGGAUAGCGGUCGACGUGUGAGUAAUAGUAGUAGAUGCAGGCAGGAGUCAGUCUACUAAUCUUGGACGUGAUGCCUAUAUAAUGAUCAUUGCCUGGAUAUCAUCAUGAUUAUUUGAAGUUCUAUCAAUUGCCCAAUAGUAAUUUGUUCACCCACCGUUUGCCAUUUUUCUCGAGAGAAGCCACUCGUGAAACCUACGGUCCCCGGGUCUCUUCUUUAUUAUAUUUGCCUUUGCGAUCUAUUUUCCUUUGCUUUUAUUUUCAGAUCUAUUAAACCAAAAAUACUUAAAUACCUUACUGCAAUUUAUUUUAUUUGGCGUUCGAUCUAUCAAUAUUUACAACUCUCUCACGUCCGUUUGCCAAUUUCUGGCGCCGUUGCCCGAAAGGAAUUGACAACCCCUUUAACACGUCGGGUUGCGAGUAUUUGUUAUUUGUGUGCAGGUGCUGUUCACGUAGUGUUGCGUGGUUCUCCUACUGGUUCGAUAACCUUUGUCUCAUCACUGAGGGAAAUACCUACCGUCGUUGUGCUGCAUCAUCCCUUCCUCUUUGGGGAAAUACCGACGUAGUUCUAGCAGACAUCAUCAUGCUAGUAAGUAAUUGUGAAUUUGAGAAAUACUUGUGUUAAAGUUUGUGAUUCUGUAGCAUGCACGUAUGGUGAACCGUUAUGUGAUGAAGUCGGAGCAUGAUUUAUUUAUUGAUUGUCUUCCUUAUGAGUGGCGGUCGGGGCCAAGCGAUGGUCUUUUCCUACCAAUCUAUCCCCUUACGAGCAUGCGCGUAGUACUUUGUUUUGAUAACUAAUAGAUUUUUGCAAUAAGUAUAUGAGUUCUCUAUGACUAAUGUUGAGUCCAUGGAUUAUACGCACUCUCACCCUUCCACCAUUGCUAGCCUCUCUAGUGCCGCGCAACUUUCGCCGGUACCAUAAACCCACCAUAUACCUUCCUCAAAACAGCCACCGUACCUACCUAUUAUGGAAUUUCCAUAGUGAUUCCGAGAUAUAUUGCCAUGCAACUUUCCACCAUUCCAUUUAUUAUGACACACUCCAUCAUUGUUAUAUUUCUUUGCAUGAUUAUGUAGUUGACACUGUAUUUGUGGCAAAGCCACCGUUCAUAAUUCUUUCAUACAUGUCACUCUUGAUUCAUUGCACAUCCUGGUACACCGCCGGAGGCAUUCAUAUAGAGUCAUAUUUUGUUCUAAGUAUCGAGUUGUAAUUCUUGAGUUGUAAGUAAAUAAAAGUGUGAUGAUCUUCAUUACUAGAGCAUUGUCCCAUGUGAGGAAAGGAUGAUGGAGACUAUGAUUCCCCCACAAGUCGGGAUGAGACUCCGGACAAAAAAAAGAGGCCAAAAAAAAGAGAAGGCCCAAAUAAUAAAAAAAUGAGAGAAAAGAGAGAAGGGGCAAUUGUUACUAUCCUUUUACCACACAUGUGCUUCAAAGUAGCACCAUGAUCUUCAUGAUAGAGAGUCUCCUAUAUUGUCACUUUCAUAUACUAGUGGGAAUUUUUCAUUGUAGAACUUGGCUUGUAUAUUCCAAUGAUGGGCUUCCUCAAAUUUCCCUAGGUCUUCGUGAGCAAGCGAGUUGGAUGCACACCCACUUAGUUUCUUUUUGAGCUUUCAUAAACUUAUAGCUCUAGUGCAUCCGUUGCAUGGCAAUCCCUACUCACUCACAUUGAUAUCUAUUGAUGGGUGUCGGUGUCAAAACCGGUAGAUCUCGGGUAGGGGGUCCUGAACUGUGCGUCUGAGGAUCGAAGGUAACAUGAGACAGGGGACACGAUGUUUACCCAGGUUUGGGCCCUCUUAAUGGAGGUAAUACCCUACUUCCUGCUUGAUUGACUUUGAUGAGUAUAGGGGUUACAAGAGUUGAUCUACCUCAAGAUCGUAAUGGCUAAACCCUAGAUGUCUAGCCUGUAUGAUUAUGAUUGCUUCUACGGACUAAACCCUCCGGUUUAUAUAGACACCGGAGGGGCCUAGGGUUGUACAGAGUCAGUUUACAGAGAAAGGAAACUUCAUAUCCGAAUGCCAGGCUUGCCAUCCACGCAAAGGAGAGUCCUAUCCGGACAUGGGGAAAGGCCUUCCAUCUUGUAUCUUCACGACCCAUUAGUCCGGCCCAUGUCACAUAACCCGGACGCCCGGGGACCCCCUAAUCCAGGACUCCCUCAGUAGCCCCUGAACCAGGUUUCAAUGACGAUGUGUCCGGUGCGCAGAUUGUCUUCGGCAUUGCAAGGCGGGUUCCUCCUCCGAAUACUCCAAAGUAGUCUUCUGAACAAGAGAACCGAAUCCGGCUCUGUGUAAUAGUCACAACCCUGAACCGCGAGAGUAAAAUACUUAAAACGUAAUUAGUCACGUCCACUGACAACCUUUCAGGGGAGACGUUAUGCCCGGCCUUAUCAUUAUUUCAAACCAUUUUUAGCCUCCUGUUUCACGUUUCGAGGCGUGGUCAUUGAUACGUCUUGUCAAAGCAGAGAUCGUGUCCCCUUAUUACGGGAUUCUCAUCAAUACGGGUUUGGGUAAUCCAACCGUGCCGUUUGCACGACCCUUGGGAAUAGGCGAGUUUUAAGGCUCGUGAGGGGGUGCCUGAUAUCCACUGCCUUUAUAAGAGGAUAAUGAUCCAUAUUUCUACCCCACGCCUUCUUCUUCCUUAGCCCAUCCGCCUUCGAGCUCCAGCGCCCAAGUCUCAAUCCUUUCCAUCUUUACCAAACGCUCCAGCCAUAUCUGGAUUUGGAGCGCAAGGCAAGUGGAUGGCUUCCUCCGUCACGGAGGAGAACGUCAAGGAACUCCGGGAAGCGGGGUACUUGGCCACAGAUAUAGCCCACCGGCUCCCAGCUAAAAAGCAGAUCAUUCCCACCCCGGAGCCUAAUGAGAGGGUAGUGUUCAUCCCCCAUUUCCUUCGCGGACUAGGGUUUCCCCUCCAUCCUUUCGCCCAUGGCCUCAUGUUUUAUUACGGGCUAGAUUUCCACGAUCUCGCCCCAAAUUCCUUUCUCCAUAUUUCAGCAUUCAUUGUCGUGUGCGAGGCGUUCCUCCGCAUCCCCCCACUUCGGCCUAUGGCUCAAGGUCUUUAAUGUGAAGCCGAAAGUGGUCGACGGGCAACACGCAGACUGCGGCGGCGCCAUGGUGAGCAAGCUCCCCAACGUCACUUGGCCCAAGGGGGCCUUUGUGGAGACCGUGAGGGAUGGAAACAAGAGCGGUUUUACAUCACGGAACCUCGCGACACCACAUGGGCCGCCGCUCCCAAGUUUAAAUCCGGGCCACCAAUGCGGCUUGCCUCGUGGAUCAACAAGGGCCUGGAUUGGGCGUCAUCCGACGAGGUGACGAUGCUGCAGAAGCGCAUCAAGAAUAUAAUAGAGAAGAACACCACUCUUGCCGAUGUGGUCCAGGUGAUGCUCUUUCGCCGGAUUCUCCCCUGCCAGCGCCGGCCUCUCCAUAUGUGGGAGUUCGAUCCGGCUGGCCCCUGGACCCUGCAGCGAUUCUUCAGCACGACGCAUGAAGAUAUCUGGAAGCUGCUCUUUAAGGCCCAGAAGUCGUGGCCGGAGACGACCGAUGACAUCGGCUACGACUGUACUUAUCUGGCCACUCCCGUAAGUUUUCCGUUUUUCGAACAUAACUUCCACUUGUAAAUCUGAGGGGUAUGUUGAGCCUUCCACUCUUCCUUCAGGGCUGGACAAAGAAGGCGGAGCGGAUCAAAUGUCUGGCUCCGCUACCCGAAGACCCAGCCAUUCCUCUACUAACGAGGAUGCUGGUUCCGGCGCCGUACCAUACGCCGGAGAAGAAGGCCAAGAAGAAGGGCAAGGAGGCCAAAAGUGGCCUCCGCCGCAGAGGUACUUCAGACGCUGCGUCCGAAGAUAUCGAAGUUCUCUCCUCUCAUGAGGGAGAUGAAGACGAAGAGGAGGAGGAAGAGAGCAAUUCUCUCCACAAGGAGAAGAAGAAAAGGGCGGCCUCCGCUGAUCUGGAGGCGAAGGCACCCAAAAAGGGGAGGAUAUCCCUCUCGGACGGCUCGGACACAGAUGCAGAGGACAUCCCCGAGUGGCGCCCCAGGACGAAGCCCCUGGCCGAAUCGUAAGUAUUCAAAGAUACCAUACAUAUAUCUGGCUGGUUAUAAUUUGUAGGAUAACAUAUCAUUUAUGCGUUUUAGUCCGGCCCGUGAUCUCCCCCAACAAUCAUCGUCUUCGGGGAAUUCUUUGGCGCCGGAGAUGAUGGAGAGCGAAACGCCCCCACGUGCCUCUCUGCCACAUGCUGCGGACGACACCGAAGUGUCGUCCCAAAGAACCUCUCUGGGCCAGGGAGAGGUGCGGAAGGCCGCUGAAACGGCGCCAGAGGAGAACAUGGGGGGCGCAAUCCCCACGAAGACUGAUGGCGGGGGCCCUGACCAGUCCGGCCCCCAGUCGAAUACCACUCCGGAGACCCACAGGGCUCCGGACCCGACCGAGCAGCCCCCUUCGAAAGAGGAGGGAGUGCCGACUUCACCGGCGACCUCCAUCAAUCCGGAGGCGCCAGACACUUUGAGGGAAGCACUUCGCCAUGCUUCCGUCGUGGAUGAACAUCGUGCCCUGAUGAGUAUGGUGGUUGAAAAGGUCCAGUCCACAAAAAGCGGGCUGAACGAAGCCUUCACCAGCCUGUUAACAGGCUUUGAGGUAUGUGAUGCAAUAUUCUUUAGCCGUGUUUUCAUAUGAAGAAAUAUGCUUGUAUAUAGAUAGUAGCCCCGAGACUUUGUUCGGUUCUUGAAAAGGGCCGAAGAGAGGAUCAAAUAUUCACUGGAGAUAAUAUACUUGUCUAUUUUUGAUAAACAGGCUUCCUUGUUAGCGGCUUCAGCCAAGGACGCUGAAGUUUUCGAACUCCAGCGGAAACUGAAGCUGGCUGAUGAUGAGAUCGACCGUAUUAGCAAGCGGUUUGAUGAGGCCCAAGGUAUGAUUUUUUUUAAAAGACCCCUUACAAGCCUGAAUUGUAAUGCAAACUUAGAGUUUAAGCUCAUGUGCUGCUAUGUGUGUGUGUGUCUGCAGGUGGCGCUACCGAGGUCGAGGCCCUCAAGAGUGCCCUUGCCGAAGCCAAGGAGGAGGCAAGGGCGAGCAAAGCAGCCGUAGACAAAGUGGCUGCAGACUUAACAGCCGAACAGGACGCCCGCCGACGGUAUGAGGAGAGGGUGUCCGAAGUGGAGCAGGCGCUCCAGGAUGCUGCCAACAAGUGUGAGGCCUUGGAAGAGAGUAAUAAGGCCCAAGCGACCAAACUUACCAAGGCCCUUCCGGAGGCAAAGGAUGCGCGGACCGAGUCCCGGGCGGCUCGCGAGGAGAUCAAGCAAGCUGAACAGAUAGUGGCUGGUAAGCCUUUUCUUUUACAGAGUAUAUU